Molecule: ribosomal RNA, 425 nt
Filed under: uncultured bacterium
Lineage: Bacteria
Description: partial 16S ribosomal RNA
Rfam family: Bacterial small subunit ribosomal RNA
Source: RNAcentral
GUGGGGAAUCUUGCGCAAUGGGCGAAAGCCUGACGCAGCCAUGCCGCGUGAAUGAUGAAGGUCUUAGGAUUGUAAAAUUCUUUCACCGGGGACGAUAAUGACGGUACCCGGAGAAGAAGCUCCGGCUAACUUCCUGCCAGCAGCCGCGGUAAUACGAAGGGGGCUAGCGUUGCUCGGAAUUACUGGGCGUAAAGGGCGCGUAGGCGGACAGCUUAGUCAGAGGUGAAAGCCCAGGGCUCAACCUUGGAAUUGCCUUUGAUACUGGCUGUCUUGAGUUUGGGAGAGGUGAGUGGAACUCCGAGUGUAGAGGUGAAAUUCGUAGAUAUUCGGAAGAACACCAGUGGCGAAGGCGACUCACUGGCCCAAUACUGACGCUGAGGCGCGAAAGCGUGGGGAGCAAACAGGAUUAGAUACCCUUGUAGUCC